RNAcentral lists this ribosomal RNA (460 nucleotides) under uncultured bacterium. Its description in RNAcentral is "partial 16S ribosomal RNA". It matches the Rfam family "Bacterial small subunit ribosomal RNA", at positions 338 to 795 of the family's 1533-position model. The record is from RNAcentral.
CCUACGGGAGGCAGCAGUGAGGAAUAUUGGUCAAUGGGCGCUAGCCUGAACCAGCCAAGUAGCGUGAAGGAUGACUGCCCUAUGGGUUGUAAACUUCUUUUAUAUGGGAAUAAAGUGCAGUGUGUAUACUGCUUUGAAUGUACCUUAUGAAUAAGGCUCGGCUAACUCCGUGCCAGCAGCCGCGGUAAUACUGAGGAUCCGAGCGUUAUCCGGAGUGAGUGGGUUUAAAGGGAGCGUAGGCGGGUUGUUAAGUCAGUUGUGCAAGUUUGCGGCUCAACAGUAAAAUUACAGUUGAUACUGGUAUCCUGGAGUACAGUAGAGGUAGGCGGAAUUCGUGGUGUAGCGGUGAAAUGCGUAGAUAUCACGAAGAACUCCGAUGGCGAAGGCAGCUUGCUGGACUGUAACUGACGCUGAGGCUCGAAAGUGUGGGUAUCAAACAGGAUUAGAUACCCGUGUAGUC